RNAcentral lists this unclassified non-coding RNA (346 nucleotides) under soil metagenome. RNAcentral's name for it is "partial contains 5.8S ribosomal RNA, internal transcribed spacer 2, and large subunit ribosomal RNA". The stretch from base 4 to 121 matches the Rfam family "5.8S ribosomal RNA", at positions 37 to 154 of the family's 154-position model. The record is from RNAcentral.
GAUUGAAGAACGCAGCGAAAUGCGAUACGUAAUGUGAAUUGCAGAAUUCAGUGAAUCAUCGAGUCUUUGAACGCACAUUGCGCCCCCUGGUAUUCCGGGGGGCAUGCCUGUCCGAGCGUCAUUGCUGCCCUCAAGCACGGCUUGUGUGUUGGGCCUCCGUCCUCCUCCCGGGGGACGGGCCCGAAAGGCAGCGGCGGCACCGCGUCCGGUCCUCGAGCGUAUGGGGCUUCGUCACCCGCUCUUGUAGGCCCGGCCGGCGCUUGCCGACACAUCAAUCUUUUUUCCAGGUUGACCUCGGAUCAGGUAGGGAUACCCGCUGAACUUAAGCAUAUCAAUAAGCGGAGGA